RNAcentral lists this long non-coding RNA (521 nucleotides) under Phoenix dactylifera (date palm). Its description in RNAcentral is "long non-coding RNA (PDAC_LNC022615)". Lineage: Eukaryota; Viridiplantae; Streptophyta; Magnoliopsida; Arecales; Arecaceae. The record is from RNAcentral.
UCAAUAUUGUCUCCGUCUAAUCAAACUAGACCAAGCAGUGGAGAUGCCACUAUCCAGUAGAUCACAAAUUGAAUUCCAUAUAAUUGAAGCAGUCUUGUGCAUCGUCUUUGGAUGAAUUGCUACAAAAUAAUCACAUUUUCAUGAAGUCUUCAUCUUUAAUAAAAUUUAAAGUAUGCUCUUAAUGGACUUUAGCAACCAGCAUCUUUUUUUCCUGAGAGAAACGAAUCCAUAGGUUCCCCUCCAAUACGGCAAAUCUCAUUUCAUUAAAAUAAUGAAUGAAAAAGGUGAGAUCAGAUACUUACCCUUUCAAUCUUUCACAAUUUAAGCCACUUUGGUUUAGCCGGCUUCUUCUCAGGUGGCUUAGGAUCAGGUACAGCAGGGGACGUCCCCACUGCUGGAGGUUCUGGUUCAGAAGUGACAGGAUCCGCCUUUUCAGAAGUAAAAUCCAAUCCAUUCAAAGACAAGAUAUCAUCACGAAGGUAAGGCCCUGUCUUUGCAACUGCACUAUCAGACUCUUUAUC